AACGAACGCUGGCGGCAUGCCUAACACAUGCAAGUCGAACGAAGUCUUCGGACUUAGUGGCGCACGGGUGCGUAACGCGUGGGAAUCUGCCCUUGGGUGCGGAAUAACUUCUCGAAAGGGAUGCUAAUACCGCAUAAUGUCGUAAGACCAAAGAUUUAUCGCCCAAGGAUGAGCCCGCGUAAGAUUAGCUAGUUGGUGGGGUAAAAGCCUACCAAGGCGACGAUCUUUAGCUGGUCUGAGAGGAUGAUCAGCCACACUGGGACUGAGACACGGCCCAGACUCCUACGGGAGGCAGCAGUGGGGAAUAUUGGACAAUGGGCGAAAGCCUGAUCCAGCAAUGCCGCGUGAGUGAUGAAGGCCCUAGGGUUGUAAAGACUCUUUUACCAGGGAUGAUAAUGACAGUACCUGGAGAAUAAGCUCCGGCUAACUCCGUGCCAGCAGCCGCGGUAAU
This 451-nucleotide ribosomal RNA is filed under the name uncultured bacterium. Its description in RNAcentral is "bacterial SSU rRNA". It matches the Rfam family "Bacterial small subunit ribosomal RNA", at positions 29 to 524 of the family's 1533-position model. The record is from RNAcentral.